RNAcentral lists this ribosomal RNA (254 nucleotides) under uncultured bacterium. Its description in RNAcentral is "partial 16S ribosomal RNA". It matches the Rfam family "Bacterial small subunit ribosomal RNA", at positions 524 to 776 of the family's 1533-position model. The record is from RNAcentral.
UACGGGGGGAGCAAGCGUUGUUCGGAUUUACUGGGCGUAAAGGGCGCGUAGGCGGCCAUCUAAGUCAGACGUGAAAUCCCCCGGCUUAACCUGGGAACUGCGUCUGAUACUGGACGGCUCGAGUAUGGGAGAGGGAUGUAGAAUUCCAGGUGUAGCGGUGAAAUGCGUAGAUAUCUGGAGGAAUACCGGUGGCGAAGGCGGCAUCCUGGACCAUUUACUGACGCUGAGGCGCGAAAGCUAGGGGAGCAAACGGG